This 616-nucleotide ribosomal RNA is filed under the name Eupholus schoenherrii schoenherrii. RNAcentral's name for it is "SSU rRNA". It matches the Rfam family "Eukaryotic small subunit ribosomal RNA", at positions 14 to 610 of the family's 1831-position model. Lineage: Eukaryota; Metazoa; Arthropoda; Insecta; Coleoptera; Curculionidae. The record is from RNAcentral.
CUGCCAGUAGUCAUAUGCUUGUCUCAAAGAUUAAGCCAUGCAUGUCUCAGUACAAGCCAAAUUAAGGUAAACCGCGAAAGGCUCAUUAAAUCAGUUAUGGUUCCUUAGAUCGUACCCACAAUUACUUGGAUAACUGUGGUAAUUCUAGAGCUAAUACAUGCAAACAGAGCUCCGACCGGAGACGGAAGGAGUGCUUUUAUUAGAUCAAAACCAAUCGGUGGCGAGUUCGCUCGUCAUCGUACAACUUGGUGACUCUGAAUAACUUUACGCUGAUCGCACGGUCUCGCACCGGCGACGCAUCUUUCAAAUGUCUGCCUUAUCAACUGUCGAUGGUAGGUUCUGCGCCUACCAUGGUUGUAACGGGUAACGGGGAAUCAGGGUUCGAUUCCGGAGAGGGAGCCUGAGAAACGGCUACCACAUCCAAGGAAGGCAGCAGGCGCGCAAAUUACCCACACCCGGCACGGGGAGGUAGUGACGAAAAAUAACGAUACGGGACUCAUCCGAGGCCCCGUAAUCGGAAUGAGUACACUCUAAACCCUUUAACGAGGAUCAAUUGGAGGGCAAGUCUGGUGCCAGCAGCCGCGGUAAUUCCAGCUCCAAUAGCGUAUAUUAAAGU